UACGUAGGGUGCAAGCGUUGUCCGGAAUUAUUGGGCGUAAAGAGCUCGUAGGCGGUAUGUUGCGUCGGCUGUGAAAACCCGGGGCUCAACCCCGGGCCUGCAGCCGAUACGGGCAGACUAGAGUUCGGCAGGGGAGACUGGAAUUCCUGGUGUAGCGGUGAAAUGCGCAGAUAUCAGGAGGAACACCGGUGGCGAAGGCGGGUCUCUGGGCCGAUACUGACGCUGAGGAGCGAAAGCGUGGGGAGCGAACAGG
RNAcentral lists this ribosomal RNA (253 nucleotides) under uncultured bacterium. RNAcentral's name for it is "partial 16S ribosomal RNA". It matches the Rfam family "Bacterial small subunit ribosomal RNA", at positions 524 to 776 of the family's 1533-position model. The record is from RNAcentral.